RNAcentral lists this small RNA (453 nucleotides) under Arabidopsis thaliana (thale cress). Its description in RNAcentral is "ATSL017840". Lineage: Eukaryota; Viridiplantae; Streptophyta; Magnoliopsida; Brassicales; Brassicaceae. The record is from RNAcentral.
CCAAAAAACCUAACAAAAACCAAAAUGUUUAAUAUAUAACAAAAAUUCUUCUAAGCAUAUUCUUUAAUUCUAGACGAGGCAAUUUGGAAGCACUGAUUUGAACAUAACAAAAUAACAGCAGCCCUCGCGCCAAUACAGGCACAUUAAGUUUAACUAUAAAUGACUUUUAGCGGAUUAGAUUUUAACAUAAUGAGUUUAUAAACAGGCCAGACCUAAAACAAAUAGCUUUCGAAUAACGUUGGUCAAACCGACCCGUUUUCUUUUGUUGUUGUUUCUUGAGCAAAGGAGGACGAGGAGGAGAAGAAGGAGAAGAUGACUGUAAGUUGGAUCAACUUUUCAAUUGCUUAUGGAUCUUUUCUGACUUUCUUUGAUCGUUUUUUUGUCCCGAGUAGUUAACGAUUCUGGUUGAAAACGGGAAUGGAGCGAAGAACGCUGAGAAAUUUUUUAGGUUUU